UACGUAGGGGGCGAGCGUUGUCCGGAUUUAUUGGGCGUAAAGAGCGUGUAGGCGGCCAGGUAGGUCUGCUGUGAAAACUCGAGGCUCAACCUCGAGACGUCGGCGGAAACCAUCUGGCUAGAGUCCGGAAGAGGAGAGUGGGAAUUCCUGGUGUAGCGGUGAAAUGCGCAGAGUAUCAGGAAGAACACCCGUGGCGAAGGCGGCUCUCUGGGACGGUACUGACGCUGAGACGCGAAAGCGUGGGGAGCGAACAGG
This 255-nucleotide ribosomal RNA is filed under the name uncultured bacterium. RNAcentral describes it as "partial 16S ribosomal RNA". It matches the Rfam family "Bacterial small subunit ribosomal RNA", at positions 524 to 776 of the family's 1533-position model. The record is from RNAcentral.